Molecule: ribosomal RNA, 323 nt
Filed under: bacterium
Lineage: Bacteria
Also listed under: 1 other name
Description: bacterial SSU rRNA
Rfam family: Bacterial small subunit ribosomal RNA
Source: RNAcentral
GGCAGCAGUAGGGAAUCUUCCGCAAUGGACGAAAGUCUGACGGAGCAACGCCGCGUGAGUGAUGAAGGUUUUCGGAUCGUAAAGCUCUGUUGUUAGGGAAGAACAAGUGCAAGAGUAACUGCUUGCACCUUGACGGUACCUAACCAGAAAGCCACGGCUAACUACGUGCCAGCAGCCGCGGUAAUACGUAGGUGGCAAGCGUUGUCCGGAAUUAUUGGGCGUAAAGGGCUCGCAGGCGGUUUCUUAAGUCUGAUGUGAAAGCCCCCGGCUCAACCGGGGAGGGUCAUUGGAAACUGGGAAACUGAGGCAGAAGAGAGACGAUC